GGCGUUCUGUAUAGUGGAAGCACUAUUACACAAAUGAAACAAUGUAGCUUUUGAAUGGCAGUUUAUGUUGACCACAAGAGGGCAGCAUACACCACCCAAUAGCAUGCGCAGGCUUGCCAAAAAAAAGUCACACACAUCAGCCUGGUUAGCCUGGAGGAAUCAACACACAGUAAAAGUCCAUGUGCAAGGCCACAAUGACAAGUGCCGCAGGCUGGUACACCGUGCACAAAGGACCAUGUUAGGCACAACAACCAGUGCGUUUGCAGACCCUUUGCCGGUCAGCUCGGCGGAAAAUGUACAUUUGACAAAACACAGUAGAAAACUAAAUGUCACCCUGUCUUUAUUCAUUUUGUGCAGAAAUACAGAGGUAACAGGACAAAGAAAUGUGCCUGCCACAGGCGAUCGCAUGGGCUGUGAUGAGGGCGGGAUGAUAUUUGUGACUUUGUCUGCAUGAAAACAUGCACACUGAAAGAUCGAAUGUAAUGUUUAUAGUGAUCAACAAAUGUUUGUCUUUUACAGAAUUUUAGCAGCGGAGCUCUUCUGUGUUUACAGAAAUGUUGGGUCUUGUAUUGCUUUGUUACAAAGCCCUUGCCUUUAACCAUUGCCCCACUAAAGAUAAUAAAAACAAAGGCAUUCAAAACAAAAGUAAAGAAAUGUCUUGCAGAUGUGGAAUUUAAUUAAUAUAAUUAAAUGCAGUGGACAUGUAUAAUUGAAAUACACUGGGCUGGUGUGUGUUGUUUCUUUUGUUCCAUUUUCUCUAUAGGUUUUUACUAAGACUGCUGAACAUGCAAGUUUGCUCUUCUUCACUACUUUCCUUGGCAAUAUGGUGCUCGGCAUUAAGACUGUUACACAUUUACAAAUUGAAACAAGACAAUUGAAUGAAAAUCUUUUCAGUGGGAUGUCUUUUUCGGCAAUCUUGUGUCAUUGACAAAUAUGUGUCUGUUAAACAGCUACAUCUUUUGAAAACAAAGAAAUAAAUCAAAUUAAAUGUACCGGUGUUUACCGAAUGUCCCUCUGGUGACGGCCUUUACAACCAAACGGGUGAAUAUUAACACACACUGUAUAUUUAUGGGGCAUAGUCUUGCUCUUUCUCAUAAAUAAUUGCUUGUUUGUGUUUUUUCAACCCUCAAUAAAAAUCUUCAGGCUCUAUUGGCUACCACUAUUGUUGAAUUUUUGAUAACAAUCAAAACAACAUUGCGGUGGAAGAAGAUCAAUAGCUCACACCACUCUCACCGCCAUCACGCGCACAAUGAAGAGAAUAGCCAGAGCGAAGAAGCAUUCCAACUCCAUCAUCAAUACGGUUCAUGAUCUUUGAGGAAAGAAAUGUUCCAGGAGCAAUGGUUAAUAGUGUUAUUUUCUCCCCACAUCGUCACGAUAUCCAUUGACAGCCUCAGCGCACACACACACACACACACGCACACACGCCCUGCAGCUGUGUGUUGUAGUGUCCCUUCUCCUAUUAACCAGGUUGCCUGAGAAUCAAUAGAAAACAUAAAGAGGCUUAAUCUUUUCAGGUGCUCGGUGCUGAUUGCCUAUUACACAAUAAUAACACACCUUGAAUCCCACGGAGCAUGAGGGCGAGAAACACAGUCACCUCGUCCGCGCACAUUACACACGGCCACAAGCAGGCGCACGGUAAAUCUAUAGGUUUACAACCCAACAGAUGGCGGCGGCGGUGGCGCUGGGCCUUUACGAGGGGGGUGUUGGCCCACGCGGCGAGAGGAAUCGCAGCAGGAACAGUGGGAUUUCAGGGGAUAGAGUUUAUCCGCCGCGCGGAAUGAGACGCUGCCGGCGUCUCCGUUGGUCGACUGCGCUCUCCCGUCCUCUGCUUUUAGGCGGUAGAAGUUUCUCCGAGGCUGAACAACAGCUGCUGCAGUAGUAUUUCACCCCAGUGGAGCACGAGGUGAAUUAUAAGCCUGCAUGCUGGGAUUUGAAGUGGAACACUGAAAAGCACCCGCAGACGGACACGGCUUUGCAUUUCACCCGUCAGCAGUGACUAACAGUUAACGUUAAUGAGCAGUUUGCUAUUUCCCACAUUCAGCGAUGCCCCGUUGUAAGUCAUUCGGUGUCGGGCUGUCAGAGUCACUCCUGCAGAAAAGCCCCGAAUGAAUUCCAGAGAUGUGGAGGACUGGAGUCUGGUUGUUGACUUGUUGGCCUGUGCUCCUACGCACUGAGCCAGCAGGACAGGUGGAGGAUCUGGGAAUCAGGCAAGUCCAGGACUGGAACCAGAGCAACGGACGGACUUGACGUCCCUAGAGAGCUUCUCAAACUGCUCUCAAGUCCUGGCAAGGUAGAGAUGGACG
Long non-coding RNA from Gasterosteus aculeatus aculeatus (three-spined stickleback), 2303 nucleotides. The record is from Ensembl. Lineage: Eukaryota; Metazoa; Chordata; Actinopteri; Perciformes; Gasterosteidae.